This 534-nucleotide long non-coding RNA is filed under the name Carica papaya (papaya). RNAcentral's name for it is "long non-coding RNA (CPAP_LNC004660)". The record is from RNAcentral. Lineage: Eukaryota; Viridiplantae; Streptophyta; Magnoliopsida; Brassicales; Caricaceae.
AUUUAAUGCUCCAUCAGUGAUUUUUAAUUUUAUACCAAUCUUUAUUUCUGUGCCGGUGAUAUAGUGUGAUAUUCUUACUGAGGUAGUGUAGCUCAUCCUUUAUUUAACCAUUUCAGAUCAAGAGAACCAGGUUCCAGAGCUAGAUCCGCAAGAAGAUUGCGAGUAGAUGCUAGAUAUUUUCUUUUUUUCAUUUGUUUCCUUAUUUCUCGUGUUUCUUUCAAAGAAUUGAUUCCGUAAUACUGUUCGAUACUUUUAAGUUAUUAUGUAAGAAUUAUAAACUUUAACCUUUUAUUUCGCUUCUGUACUUAAGUUAUUAUAUAUUUUCUUUUAGAUUUCCGGAGUCGUUAUACUUUAUGCACGGAUCUCUCUUUGUUCUCACGCACGAGAUCUCCCUCCCACAGAACGAGUCUCUCCCUUUUUGUGGGCGGAGAAUGGGAGCCCUGCACGCCUCUUCUUCCUUCAUCCCUGGCGUGCAAGUGUGUUCUUCUUUUCCUCCUUCUUCGGCUUCCAAAGGCGUGCACGCCUCUGGUUGCC